Molecule: long non-coding RNA, 594 nt
Organism: Felis catus (domestic cat)
Lineage: Eukaryota; Metazoa; Chordata; Mammalia; Carnivora; Felidae
Exons: 2
Source: RefSeq, a predicted model, not a curated record
AGAUUCUUAAAAACCCAGGGAGGAACUCUCAGCAUUUCAGUGAUGACCUCUGUAACCAAGAGUACACAAAUAAAGAACGAUAAAGUAAAUGAAGCUCCAUUAGCACUGAAAACCAGUGAGGUGAGGAAGAUCCAUUCUACGGUUAGAAGGUCUUAAUCACAACUGUGUCAUGUCUACAGUUAUUUUUGCAAGAUGCGGCACAGGACACCCUAUGGGCAGCUUAUGCUGGCACCCUAGAGGAUAAUAUCCCGGCAGAUGGCUUCUCAACAAAUUCUUCAGCAUGGUGUCUUCUCAGGGAUGGCUUCCCUACACCAGAGGACAGAGUCUUCACAGCACUACUGCAAGGUCUCCACCAUCCAGUGGGUCAUGGCUGCGGAGUCUCCAGUGAAGUCUGCAUCUCAUGGGCAGGGAAGAGGAGGGUAGGGUCUUCCAAAUGUGUUUCUUCCUUGGACGCUCCACCUCAGCCCUAGAGGGGGGCUUCUCCCCACGUCUGCUAUUACUCUUCCUUUCCUUAUGUUUUCUUUACUCCUUAGUAGGUUAUAGUUAAUACUGUUAUAGUUAAUACUUCUUUAUAUUAAACUUCCUUUGUUUCCA